Molecule: long non-coding RNA, 415 nt
Organism: Diorhabda carinulata
Lineage: Eukaryota; Metazoa; Arthropoda; Insecta; Coleoptera; Chrysomelidae
Exons: 3
Source: RefSeq, a predicted model, not a curated record
AUAAAAUAAACGAAAUGUCAAUACAUAAUUGACAGUUAUAAUUUCUUAUCAUCCUACCCAAAUUACAAGUGAAAUUAGCCCAAAUAUUCACGAACGAAAAAAAAAAAGGAAAAAUAUGAGUAGCUCAGAUGAAAAAUGUCCCCCUUGUGCUCCCGGAUGUGGUCCAUGUCCUCCGCCAUACUGCAUACCAACAGUUUUUCAACAAAAUUUGCCUGACUGGUGUCCAAUGGUUCGUGUGCCGUGUAUUUUACCAGUAAGCACACUCUGCAAAUCUCCUAAAUCAAGUCAUAUGAAAUGAAUGGUGAUGUACUAGAAUAAAAUAUGUCAGAGUAGCAGAUCUGUUAUACUGCGUUCCGUCGUAUUUAACUGCUAAAUGUUUGUUUCUCAAUAAAGAUAAAUCGUUUUUUGAGUAUUA